ACGACACUGUUAAUCAGCAAUGGAUUGAACAAGAAAACAUUGCAAGACAUCCGCAUAGAAGCCACACGGACAGAUGUGAAAACAGUAGCGGAAUCGCCAUAAGACAAGCAAUUACGGCUUAUUUUUCCACAAUGACGUAGUGGAUCCAUUUCAUCAACGUAUCAGCUGAACCGACUAAUGACUCCGAACCCGUGGAAUAAAAACAUACAUACAUAUAAUAUAUUAUUUCAUGUAAAAUCUUUGAUAUUUUAUACGAAUCGUUUUCAAUGCUCUCAUCUGCCAAUUCUUGUGUGAAAUUUGACUUGUAACCGCCACCUAUUUUGUGGAUAUCUUCAUAGUACUCCUCCACUUUGGCCAAUAAUCUUCCUUUCCGGUCUGAUACAUUAAUAUUAAUUCAAUUAGUACAUAAUUUUUGUAAUUAUUUACGAAGCUAUACUUUUUUCCAUGUUGUCUAUACGAUUUCGCAGCUCGUCCAGUGCCAGCGAAAUCCGUGCUCAUUUGCCAGCUGUGUGCAUAUUUUAGCAUAAAUGUGGCUAUUUUAAUGUAUUCCACGCAACUGUGGAUUACACUCUGCCCAAACAGAGAACUUAAAGCAUAGAGAAGGUGCAAAUUGAAUUCUGUAUGAUGUUCGAUUUGACGGCUAACAGAGCUGUUAGAAUUGUAGUAAGGAAUUCACCAUUUUCGCUGCUAUUUAGCAGAAAUGAGCACGUUCUCUGGCAGAAAUAUAUGUAAAACGACUAAAUUCAUGCGAGAAUAAAUGAAGAGAAAUGCUUUGAAGAAAAAUAUACAAAGUCACACAGAGAACGUAAAAAAGCAUUCUCUGAGUCACAUAUGCGUGAUUAUUUUGUAUUAUUUGAACCAUUGUUUUCCGAAAAAUAGUAAAAAUUUUAAUUUUUUUUUUACAAAAUCGGGAAAAAUUAGGUAAAAAUAAUUUUAAUUUUAUUUCUCUUUAAUUUUUUUUUUAUUUUUUU
This is a long non-coding RNA of Bactrocera neohumeralis, 971 nucleotides long. RefSeq lists it as uncharacterized. Lineage: Eukaryota; Metazoa; Arthropoda; Insecta; Diptera; Tephritidae. The transcript has 2 exons. The record is from RefSeq and is a predicted model, not a curated record.